This 468-nucleotide ribosomal RNA is filed under the name uncultured bacterium. Its description in RNAcentral is "partial 16S ribosomal RNA". It matches the Rfam family "Bacterial small subunit ribosomal RNA", at positions 39 to 507 of the family's 1533-position model. The record is from RNAcentral.
GGGGGGGGGGGGGGGGGGGGGGAGGGGAGGGAGGGCGAAGGGAAGGGGGCUGCUUGUGGGGGGGGCUGGAGGGGCGAACGGGUGAGUAACACGUGAGUAACCUGCCCUUGACUUUGGGAUAACUUCAGGAAACUGGGGCUAAUACCGGAUAGGAGCUCCUGCGGCAUGGUGGGGGUUGGAAAGUUUCGGCGGUUGGGGAUGGACUCGCGGCUUAUCAGCUUGUUGGUGGGGUAGUGGCUUACCAAGGCUUUGACGGGUAGCCGGCCUGAGAGGGGGACCGGCCACAUUGGGACUGCGAUACGGCCCAGACUCCUACGGGAGGCAGCAGUGGGGAAUAUUGCACAAUGGGCGGAAGCCUGAUGCAGCAACGCCGCGUGCGGGAUGACGGCCUUCGGGUUGUAAACCGCUUUCGCCUGUGACGAAGCGUGAGUGACGGUAAUGGGUAAAGAAGCACCGGCUAACUACGUG